This 63-nucleotide transfer RNA is filed under the name Scolytinae sp. BMNH 1040327. RNAcentral's name for it is "tRNA-Trp". The record is from RNAcentral. Lineage: Eukaryota; Metazoa; Arthropoda; Insecta; Coleoptera; Curculionidae.
AAGAAUUUAAGUUAAUCAAACUAUUAACCUUCAAAGUUAAAAAUAGACAAUGUCUAAGUCUUA